UAACGAAUCUUCCGCAAUGCACGAAAGUGUGACGGAGCAAUGCCGCGUGCGGGACGAAGCCCCUCGGGGUGUAAACCGCUAAAUCAAGCUAGAAAGUUCUGAUCGGCUCGAGAUAAGGUGCGACUAACUCUGUGCCAGCAGUCGCGGUAAUACAGAGGCACCAAGCGUUAGGCGGAAUCACUGGGCUUAAAGCGUGUGCAGGCGGCCCCGUAAGUGUCUUGUGAAAGCCCAUGGCUCAACCAUGGAAUUGCUUGGCAUACUGCGGGACUUGAGUCAUCCAGGGGCAAGCGGAACAGACGGUGGAGCGGUGAAAUGCGUAGAUAUCGUCUGGAACGCCUGAGGCGAAAGCGGCUUGCUGGGGAUGAACUGACGCUCAGACACGAAAGCCAGGGUAGCGAACGGGAUUAGAUACCCCCGUAGUCC
This 423-nucleotide ribosomal RNA is filed under the name uncultured prokaryote. RNAcentral's name for it is "bacterial SSU rRNA". It matches the Rfam family "Bacterial small subunit ribosomal RNA", at positions 355 to 796 of the family's 1533-position model. The record is from RNAcentral.